UACGUAGGGUGCAAGCGUUGUCCGGAUUUACUGGGCGUAAAGAGCGCGCAGGCGGUCGUUCAAGUCGAGUGUGAAAGCCCCCGGCUCAACUGGGGAGGGUCACUCGAUACUGAUCGACUCGAAGGCAGAAGAGGGAAGCGGAAUUCCCGGUGUAGUGGUGAAAUGCGUAGAUAUCGGGAGGAACACCAGUGGCGAAGGCGGCUUUCUGGUCUGCUCUUGACGCUGAGGCGCGAAAGCUAGGGUAGCAAACGGG
RNAcentral lists this ribosomal RNA (253 nucleotides) under uncultured bacterium. RNAcentral describes it as "partial 16S ribosomal RNA". It matches the Rfam family "Bacterial small subunit ribosomal RNA", at positions 524 to 776 of the family's 1533-position model. The record is from RNAcentral.